UUUCUUCUGUAAGCCUUUCAACAACUAUAAUCUUUCCAUACUUAUCUUGCUCCAUUCUAUUUCUAUUUAUGUGUAAAUAAUGCGAUUUACUAAAAACCACAUAUAUCCAAUCUCAUUAGAUUUGAUUGGUUCCUAUUUUUUUGCUCUCUAUUUUUCUCUCUUCCAUAUCUACCAUCUCUCUCUACUUCCUACACUAGAACCACCAUGCCCUCCUUUUGCACGUCAUCUCUCAUUAACUCUCUUCAAUCUCCUCUUUUACAAUUAUUAACAUCCCUCUCCUUUUCCACAUUAACUCACUCUAUCUUUAUCUUAGCUAUAUCCACCAUCACCACCAAGGUCCACUAAGUCUGUUCAUCUCUAUCAUAAUUGUUACUCUCUCCUCCUUGUCUACCUUCUCUCUCUAUUUCUCUCUUUUGUCUAUCUUGACCUACAAUAUUGCCAACUUCCUCCAACAUAUAUGGUGCCCCCUCCUAUUCCACCUCCUCUCUUUCUUUAUCUUCUUUUCACUUUCAUUUUCAUGCGCCUCCUUGAUCACUUCCUUUCUUGUCCAUUAUAGUUGUUGCCUGUGGCUU
Molecule: long non-coding RNA, 572 nt
Filed under: Phoenix dactylifera (date palm)
Lineage: Eukaryota; Viridiplantae; Streptophyta; Magnoliopsida; Arecales; Arecaceae
Description: long non-coding RNA (PDAC_LNC004499)
Source: RNAcentral